RNAcentral lists this ribosomal RNA (253 nucleotides) under uncultured bacterium. RNAcentral describes it as "partial 16S ribosomal RNA". It matches the Rfam family "Bacterial small subunit ribosomal RNA", at positions 524 to 776 of the family's 1533-position model. The record is from RNAcentral.
UACAGGGGGGGCAAGCGUUGUUCGGAAUUACUGGGCGUAAAGGGCUCGUAGGCGGCCAACUAAGUCCGACGUGAAAUCCCAAAGCUUAACUUUGGAACUGCGUCGGAUACUGGAUGGCUUGAAUUCGGGAGAGGGAUGCAGAAUUCCAGGUGUAGCGGUGAAAUGCGUAGAUAUCUGGAGGAAUACCGGUGGCGAAGGCGGCAUCCUGGACCGACAUUGAUGCUGAUGAGCGAAAGCUAGGGGAGCAAACGGG